AGUGAACGCUGGCGGUAGGCCUAACACAUGCAAGUCGAACGGCAGCACCGUAAGAGCUUGCUCUUACGGGUGUCGAGUGGCGGACGGGUGAGGAAUACAUCGGAAUCUACUUUUUCGUGGGGGAUAACGUAGGGAAACUUACGCUAAUACCGCAUACGACCUACGGGUGAAAGCAGGGGAUCUUCGGACCUUGCGCGAUUGAAUGAGCCGAUGUCGGAUUAGCUAGUUGGCUGGGUAAAGGCCCACCAAGGCGACGAUCCGUAGCUGGUCUGAGAGGAUGAUCAGACAGACUGGAACUGAGACACGGUACAGACUCCUACGGGAGGCAGCAGUGGGGAAUAUUGGAGAAGGGGCGAAAGCCUGAUACAGCCAUACCGCGUGGGUGAAGAAGGACUUCGGGUUGUAAAGCCCUUUUGUUGGGAGAGAAAAGAAGCAGGUUAAUACCCCGCUGUUCUGACGGUACCCAAAGAAUAAGCACCGGCUAACUUCGUG
RNAcentral lists this ribosomal RNA (492 nucleotides) under uncultured bacterium. RNAcentral's name for it is "partial 16S ribosomal RNA". It matches the Rfam family "Bacterial small subunit ribosomal RNA", at positions 29 to 507 of the family's 1533-position model. The record is from RNAcentral.